Molecule: non-coding RNA, 49 nt
Filed under: Schistosoma mansoni
Lineage: Eukaryota; Metazoa; Platyhelminthes; Trematoda; Strigeidida; Schistosomatidae
Source: RNAcentral
AUCCAGCUGACGAGUCGCAAAAUUGGACAAAACGCGCGUCAAACUGGAU